Molecule: ribosomal RNA, 328 nt
Filed under: uncultured Glomus
Lineage: Eukaryota; Fungi; Glomeromycota; Glomeromycetes; Glomerales; Glomeraceae
Description: SSU rRNA
Rfam family: Eukaryotic small subunit ribosomal RNA
Source: RNAcentral
GUGUUUAAAGCAGGCUUAAGCUUGGAUACAUUAGCAUGGAAUAAUGAAAUAGGACGUUUUGAUCUUAUUUUGUUGGUUUCUAAGAUCGACGUAAUGAUUAAUAGGGAUAGUUGGGGGCAUUAGUAUUCAAUUGUCAGAGGUGAAAUUCUUGGAUUUAUUGAAGACGAACUACUGCGAAAGCAUUCGCCAAGGAUGUUUUCAUUAAUCAGUGAACGAAAGUUAGGGGAUCGAAGACGAUCAGAUACCGUCGUAGUCUUAACCAUAAACUAUGCCGACUAGGGAUCGGACGGUGGUUUUUUUAUGCCCCGUUCGGCGCCUUACGGGAAAC